AAUACUUUAUACGAGGCUUGUAAUUGGGAAAAAAAUCCGAAAAUUGUAUUUGAUAUUAAUAAAUUUUGUA
This 70-nucleotide transfer RNA is filed under the name Bigelowiella natans. The record is from RNAcentral. Lineage: Eukaryota; Cercozoa; Chlorarachniophyceae.